Molecule: ribosomal RNA, 639 nt
Filed under: Trichoderma brevicompactum
Lineage: Eukaryota; Fungi; Ascomycota; Sordariomycetes; Hypocreales; Hypocreaceae
Description: eukaryotic LSU rRNA
Rfam family: 5.8S ribosomal RNA (bases 258-411)
Source: RNAcentral
UGGCAGUAUAAGUCGUAACAAGGUCUCCGUUGGUGAACCAGCGGAGGGAUCAUUACCGAGUUUACAACUCCCAAACCCCAAUGUGAACGUUACCAAACUGUUGCCUCGGCGGGAUUUCUGCCCCGGGCGCGUCGCAGCCCCGGACCAAGGCGCCCGCCGGAGGACCAAUUUACAAACUCUUUUGUAUAUCCCAUCGCGGAUUCUUUACAUUCUGAGCUUUCUCGGCGCUCCUAGCGAGCGUUUCGAAAAUGAAUCAAAACUUUCAACAACGGAUCUCUUGGUUCUGGCAUCGAUGAAGAACGCAGCGAAAUGCGAUAAGUAAUGUGAAUUGCAGAAUUCAGUGAAUCAUCGAAUCUUUGAACGCACAUUGCGCCCGCCAGUAUUCUGGCGGGCAUGCCUGUCCGAGCGUCAUUUCAACCCUCGAACCCCUCCGGGGGGUCGGCGUUGGGGAUCGGCACUUACCUGCCGGCCCCGAAAUACAGUGGCGGUCUCGCCGCAGCCUCUCCUGCGCAGUAGUUUGCACACUCGCACCGGGAGCGCGGCGCGUCCACGGCCGUAAAACAACCCAAACUUCUGAAAUGUUGACCUCGGAUCAGGUAGGAAUACCCGCUGAACUUAAGCAUAUCAAUAAGCGGAGGA